RNAcentral lists this long non-coding RNA (567 nucleotides) under Brassica napus (rape). Its description in RNAcentral is "long non-coding RNA (BNAP_LNC000505)". Lineage: Eukaryota; Viridiplantae; Streptophyta; Magnoliopsida; Brassicales; Brassicaceae. The record is from RNAcentral.
CAGCCCAAGAUCAAGCCUCUGAAGCCGACAUGCUCAGUACGCGACACCACCAAGAAAGAUAGACGUGGUUGACAAGACCAACUUCUAUACUCCUCUCGCGCACCCACAACGGAGAACCCGUAGCGGACCUUCUAGGUUGGAACCAAAAUGCAUCCCAAAGAAGAACUACUCCUGAUUAUUCCAUAUAUACAAUUGCCAACUGAACAGCAAGAAACCGGGCCAGAGAAAGCCGCUGAAUACAGCUCGGACUGAGCUCACAAGACCUGAACAAUGAGAUUAGAGAGCCAGCACAGCCGUAGAUAUCAUGAGACAGAUACGCUCCUGGGAAAUGCUAACCCUCCGUACAGUACCACCAAGGAGUCGCAAAGUUCACUGACCAACCGAACCCACAACCUCCAAUGCCGUACGCCCUCUGCGAGAAUCGAAAGAGGGUAAUAGAUUGCUGUCGAGAUGCUGAGACCGGUGGUAACGGAGACAGCCCAAGAAAAGAACACGAGCUCGACACACUUAGAAGCUUGUCUACUAAGCUCCGGUGGUGAUGUCCAAAACAGAUUCCAGGAAGCAAAG